This 610-nucleotide ribosomal RNA is filed under the name uncultured archaeon. RNAcentral's name for it is "bacterial SSU rRNA". It matches the Rfam family "Archaeal small subunit ribosomal RNA", at positions 320 to 934 of the family's 1478-position model. The record is from RNAcentral.
GCCCUACGGGGCGCAGCAGGCGCGAAAACUUUACCAUGCGGGCAACCGUGAUAAGGAAACCCCGAGUGCCAGCACAGGCUGGCUGUCCGCCAGUUUAAAUAACUGGUGAAGAAAGGGCCGGGCAAGACCGGUGCCAGCCGCCGCGGUAAUACCGGCGGCUCGAGUGGUGGCCGCUAUUACUGGGCUUAAAGGGUCCGUAGCUUGAUAACUGGGUCCCUUGAGAAAUCCGCCAGCUCAACUGGCGGGCGUUCAGGGGAAACUUGUUUUCUAGGGACCGGGAGAGGUGAGGGGUACUGCCGGGGUAGGAGUGAAAUCCUGUAAUCCCGGUGGGACCACCUAUGGCGAAGGCAUCUCACCAGAACGGGUCCGACAGUGAGGGACGAAAGCUGGGGGAGCAAACCGGAUUAGAUACCCGGGUAGUCCCAGCUGUAAACUAUGUGCGUUAGGUGUGUCAGUGACCACGUGUCACUGAGGUGCCGAAGGGAAACCGUGAAACGCACCGCCUGGGGAGUACGGUCGCAAGGCUGAAACUUAAAGGAAUUGGCGGGGGAGCACCACAACGGGUGGAGCUUGCGGUUUAAUUGGAUUCAACGCCGGAAAUCUUACCGGG